UGAACGCUGGCGGCGUGCCUAAUACAUGCAAGUCGAGCGAACGGACGAGAAGCUUGCUUCUCUGAUGUUAGCGGCGGACGGGUGAGUAACACGUGGAUAACCUACCUAUAAGACUGGGAUAACUUCGGGAAACCGGAGCUAAUACCGGAUGAUAUUUUGAACCUCAUGGUUCAAAAGUGAAAGACGGUCUUGCUGUCACUUAUAGAUGGAUCCGCGCUGCAUUAGCUAGUUGGUAAGGUAACGGCUUACCAAGGCAACGAUGCAUAGCCGACCUGAGAGGGUGAUCGGCCACACUGGAACUGAGACACGGUCCAGACUCCUACGGGAGGCAGCAGUAGGGAAUCUUCCGCAAUGGGCGAAAGCCUGACGGAGCAACGCCGCGUGAGUGAUGAAGGUCUUCGGAUCGUAAAACUCUGUUAUUAGGGAAGAACAUAUGUGUAAGUAACUGUGCACAUCUUGACGGUACCUAAUCAGAAAGCCACGGCUAACUACGCG
Molecule: ribosomal RNA, 495 nt
Filed under: uncultured bacterium
Lineage: Bacteria
Description: partial 16S ribosomal RNA
Rfam family: Bacterial small subunit ribosomal RNA
Source: RNAcentral